UCGCUAUCAGAAAUACUAUCAUGCAACUUGUCAAAUAUAGUUCUAUAAUUGUAUUUAAAGAAAAACACUUGUUUGGCAAUAUGGAAAACACUUGUACUAACUUGCAGACUUCAGUGUUCUUAGUUAUUUCAGAAAUGGUUUCACCAUCAAAAAUGUUCAUUUUAUUUCUGUCUUGGUUCACCUCAUCUGAAUCCUAUACAUUCUGAUAUGAUUCAAUAUAUAUCAACCAAAAAGCUUUUGGUAGUAUUUUGUGACUUCAACCCAGUCAUUUGGUUAACUAAAAGUCACUCAAAAGAAUUUUGCAUUUGUCCACAGAUUUGACAAAAGCAAAAUUAAUGUGACUUAAAUAAUCACAUCUUUCAAAACAGUAUUGAAUCAAAAUUCAAAGUAAUUGUUUAAAAUAAACACAUUUCAAUUUUGUGUAGCAUAUUCUUGCAUAAGAUAUUAACUCUAUGCUAUAUAUAUUUAUAUUAUUCUGCAAAGUUCUGCAGAAAACUACUAAGAAAUAUUGUUUGAUAAUUGGCUGGUGAUAUGAAAAUUGAAUAGUGAAUACCAUCAAUUCCGAGAUUAAAAUCACAUGCAUUCGGAAACCUUCCUGCAUGUAGAUAAGACACAACUUGACUCUGACCAGACUAGAUUUUUUUUUUUUUUUUUUUUUUAACUUAAUGCUUAUAAUAAGCAAAAAUAAAAAUAAACAGUGACAUUUUAAAUUUAGGUAUUAAGAAAAUGUCUUGCAUUUGAUUUGAUAUAAUCAUGGAAUUAUCAUAUUAUAUUUUACUUCCAUGUACUAUAAGACUAUUGAAUGUUAUUUGCUAACUAUUAAUCAGUCUUUUAAAUAGAAUGCUUUUCCUGCAUUUUGCUGUUAGAUUAACUGCUUCUACACUGGUGCUAAAAUUUGAGAACCAAUUGAAAAGUAUAUAUAUUAUAUGUAUAUAUUGGUACAUCAUGUGUUACUACCAAAAUACCUCUUCUUUUUUUUUUUUGCAUCUCGUAAAGACUGGCUAAAUAAAAGGUUUAUAUAAAGAGAUGUAUAAUAGAUAGUUCAUUUUUUCAAAUCUUGUGAACUUCUUCAAUUUCCUAGACCAUGUCUAGCAUUUUAAAUAAAUACUGCAUCCACAAUGCUUUAAAUUUUAUUUUUAUUUUAUUUAUUUUUUUUUUUUUUUUUUUUUUUUUUUUUUUUUUUUUUUUUU
This 1190-nucleotide long non-coding RNA is filed under the name Mytilus galloprovincialis (Mediterranean mussel). Lineage: Eukaryota; Metazoa; Mollusca; Bivalvia; Mytilida; Mytilidae. The record is from RNAcentral.